RNAcentral lists this ribosomal RNA (492 nucleotides) under uncultured bacterium. RNAcentral's name for it is "bacterial SSU rRNA". It matches the Rfam family "Bacterial small subunit ribosomal RNA", at positions 28 to 507 of the family's 1533-position model. The record is from RNAcentral.
GAUGAACGCUAGCUACAGGCUUAACACAUGCAAGUCGAGGGGAAACGAUAGAGAAAGCUUGCUUUUUCUAGGCGUCGACCGGCGCACGGGUGAGUAACGCGUAUCCAACCUGCCCACCACUUGGGGAUAACCUUGCGAAAGUAAGACUAAUACCCAAUGAUAUCUCUAGAAGACAUCUGAAGGAGAUUAAAGAUUUAUCGGUGAUGGAUGGGGAUGCGUCUGAUUAGCUUGUUGGCGGGGUAACGGCCCACCAAGGCUACGAUCAGUAGGGGUUCUGAGAGGAAAGUCCCCCACAUUGGAACUGAGACACGGUCCAAACUCCUACGGGAGGCAGCAGUGAGGAAUAUUGGUCAAUGGGCGGAAGCCUGAACCAGCCAAGUAGCGUGCAGGACGACGGCCCUAUGGGUUGUAAACUGCUUUUAUAAGGGAAUAAAGUGAGCCUCGUGAGGCUUUUUGCAUGUACCUUAUGAAUAAGGACCGGCUAAUUCCGUG